AGCCUUUUUUGGCGCUUGAAGAAGAUGAUGGUCCAGAAAUGGUAGCCAUUCCUUCCAGUGUGGAAACUAAAGGUUUGGUGGUAAAUGGCCUGUUAAGGCAAGUGACCAUAUAUUCUUAUGCACAAGGAGUGAUAGAAAUAUACGCUUUGCAAGUCAUCUUUCGUGAAUGUCUUUAAGAGUUGUGAUCAGAAAUACGAUGAACAGCGAUGCCAUAUGCUAUCCCUAGGAAAGGAAGGCUUACAAGGCCCUGUAGACCAUGAGAAAAC
Molecule: long non-coding RNA, 266 nt
Filed under: Fukomys damarensis (Damara mole-rat)
Lineage: Eukaryota; Metazoa; Chordata; Mammalia; Rodentia; Bathyergidae
Description: lncRNA (ENSFDAG00000024092.1)
Source: RNAcentral